ACGUAGAAACACCUGUUCUCGUACGAUAACCGAAGUUAAGCAACGUCGAGCCUGGUCAGUACGUAGAUAAGUAACCGCUUUGGAAUAUCAGGAGCAGUA
Non-coding RNA from Acanthosepion pharaonis, 99 nucleotides. Lineage: Eukaryota; Metazoa; Mollusca; Cephalopoda; Sepiida; Sepiidae. The record is from the annotation of a GenBank genome assembly.